This 250-nucleotide ribosomal RNA is filed under the name uncultured bacterium. Its description in RNAcentral is "partial 16S ribosomal RNA". It matches the Rfam family "Bacterial small subunit ribosomal RNA", at positions 524 to 773 of the family's 1533-position model. The record is from RNAcentral.
UACGAAGGACCCGAGCGUUAUCCGGAUUUACUGGGUUUAAAGGGUGCGUAGGCGGAACGAUAAGUCAGUGGUGAAAGCCUGUUGCUUAACAACAGAACUGCCAUUGAUACUGUCGAUCUUGAGUACACAUGAUGUGGGCGGAAUGUGCCAUGUAGCGGUGAAAUGCUUAGAUAUGGCACAGAACACCGAUUGCGAAGGCAGCUCACAAAACUGUUACUGACGCUGAGGCACGAAAGCGUGGGGAUCAAAC